This 1225-nucleotide long non-coding RNA is filed under the name Anser brachyrhynchus (Pink-footed goose). RNAcentral describes it as "lncRNA (ENSABRG00000006987.1)". Lineage: Eukaryota; Metazoa; Chordata; Aves; Anseriformes; Anatidae. The record is from RNAcentral.
CUGUGGCUUGCCAAUGGACAGAAAUGAAGCCAACAUAACAGCUAGAAAUCUGUAAUCCAUUAGCUUGCUUGUUGUCUUUGCUACUCAGCAUUCAGUUUUGCAGACCAGUGCUUAACCAAUUGCUUUGAUAGAUUCACUUGAUUUGAUUUAGUCUCUUUCUAGAAGAACAUCUAGCAAUAAGGCCAUUCUCAAAGUAAUCUAAUAAACAUGAUAAGAGCAGCAAAUCUGCAGCCAAGCUGUCCUCUGUUAAACUUCCUACAAUCUAGUCUGGGGCAGAGAGAGGGACACUGUGACAAAGAUUUUUAUCAGGCUGCUAGGGUGGUCUGGGGACUGGUGAAGCCAGGUACCCGAAGUGGAGAGGGAAGCUUUCCUUGGCAGCCACCAGGCACCAGCUCUUAUGUAAGUUCAUAUGAGGAGCAGCUGAGGGAACUGGGGUUGUUUAGUCUGGAGUAAAGGAGGCUGAGAGGAGACAUGAAAGGAGGUUCCAGUGAGGAGGGUGUUGGUCGCUUUUCUCAGGUGCAAGUGGUAGGACAUAAGGAAAUGGUCUCAAGUUGCACAAGAGGAGGUUUGGGCUGGACAUUCGGAAGAAUUUCUUCUCGGAAGGAGUGGUUAGGCAUUGGGACGGGCUGCCCAGGGAAAUGGAGAAGUCGCCAUCCCUGGAGGUGUUUAAGAAAUGUGUGGAUGUGGUGCUUAGGUUUAGUGGCAGACUUGGUAGUGCUAGGUUGAUGGUUGGACCUGAUGAUCUUAAGGGUCUUUUCAAACCUAAAUGAUUCUAUGAUUCUUCAGUGAAGAGCAAGCAUUUUGAAAAUAGGCAGCACUGAAAGUGUCCAUUAUGGUGACAACCUGUGUCACAGCAACCUUUAAAACAUUCUGGGUGAAGAUAGCAGGGAGGGAAAGCAUCCAGAAUAUACAUAUUUUUAAUCCAUAUGAUAACCAUAUGGCCACAGUCUAACCAGGAUGGAUGGCUUUCAUUGUUUGUCCCCACUGUUUUUGUUUUGCUGUCAGCUAUUUGCUUUUUAUAAGGCACAUGGCUGUCACGACACUUUGCAGGGGCAACCUCUAUUCGUUUGAAGGUAUGGAGACCAUCUGCCUUAUUCCGGCCAUGAGCAGCACUACUAAGAAAACAAGUCAGAAGUGGAAUCAUAAUUCUCUUCUCAUGCCAAGUUUGCCAGAGGCAUCCCGUGUCAUUUUGAACAGUCUGGACACAUGCAAAAUGGAUGACUAA